CAGGUGGAUACCAGGUGAAAGAAAACCCCAGCAGAUGUGGGCAGACCAUUGUGGAGGUUGAUGCUGUGGCUAAUCUGGUAGAUCAUGGCGCCUGGACACAUGGCAAUGGUGGAGUAGUGGGCUGAUAAAAAGUAUUGAGAAGACACGGUCUAUAGGACUCGCUGAUGGAUUGGAUCUGAAGACCUAAUUGGAGCCAAGCUGACAAGGGAGUCUGAGAAAUGUGGUUUUCAGAUUUCCAGCCCUGGCGGUGCAGAGAAGAUAUAGAAAAGUGGAUGUGGGAAUGAGCACCAAUAGACAAUAUCUGCUACAUGUAUUCACAUGCAUUGUAACUCUUGGUUGCAUGUAAUAAAACCCAACUUAGGCUGGCACAGUGGCUCAUGCCUGUAAUCCCUGCACUUUGGGAGGCCGAGGCGGGUGUAUCACUUGACGUCAGGAGUUUGAGACCAGCCUGGCCAACACGAUGAAACCUGUCUCUACUAAAAAUACAAAAAACUAGCCAGGUGUAGUGGCAGGCAUCUGUAAUCCCAGCUACUUGGGAGACUGAGGCAGGAGAAUCAGUUGAACCUGGGAGGCAGAGGUUGCAGUGAGCCUAGAUCGCGCCACUGUACUCCAGCCUGGGCGACAGAGCAAG
This 631-nucleotide long non-coding RNA is filed under the name Pan troglodytes (chimpanzee). Its description in RNAcentral is "long non-coding RNA NONPTRT002950". The record is from RNAcentral. Lineage: Eukaryota; Metazoa; Chordata; Mammalia; Primates; Hominidae.